UACGAAGGGGGCUAGCGUUGUUCGGAAUUACUGGGCGUAAAAGGGCGCGCAGGCGGUCCCUUCAAGUCAGGCGUGAAAGCCCCGGCUCAACCUGGGAAUAGCGCUUGAGACUGAGGGACUUGAGUUCGGGAGAGGAGAGCGAAUUCCCAGUGUAGAGGUGAAAUUCGUAGAUAUCGGGAGGAACACCAGCGGCGCAGGCGGCGCUCUGGACGCACACUGACGCUGAGACACGAAAGCGUGGGAGCAAACAGG
Molecule: ribosomal RNA, 252 nt
Filed under: uncultured bacterium
Lineage: Bacteria
Description: partial 16S ribosomal RNA
Rfam family: Bacterial small subunit ribosomal RNA
Source: RNAcentral